This is a long non-coding RNA of Oncorhynchus tshawytscha (Chinook salmon), 346 nucleotides long. The record is from Ensembl. NCBI's taxonomy places the organism in Eukaryota, Metazoa, Chordata, Actinopteri, Salmoniformes, Salmonidae.
CUCGCCUUCUGGAUGGCAGCGGGGUGAACAGGCAGUGGCUCGGGUGGUUGAUGUCCUUGAUGAUCUUUAUGGCCUUCCUGUAGCAUCGGGUGGUGUAGGUGUCCCGGAGGGCAGGUAGUUUGCCCCCGGUGAUGCGUUGUGCAGACCUCACUACCCUCUGGAGAGCCUUACGGUUGAGGGCGGUGCAGUUGCCAUACCAGGCAGUGAUACAGCCCGCCAGGAUGCUCUCGAUUGUGCAUCUGUAGAAGUUUGUGAGUGCUUUUGGUGACAAGCCGAAUUUCUUCAGCCUCCUGAGGUUGAAGAGGCGCUGCUGCGCCUUCCUCACGAUGCUGUCUGUGUGAGUGGA